RNAcentral lists this long non-coding RNA (2131 nucleotides) under Zostera marina. RNAcentral describes it as "long non-coding RNA (ZMAR_LNC004504)". The record is from RNAcentral. Lineage: Eukaryota; Viridiplantae; Streptophyta; Magnoliopsida; Alismatales; Zosteraceae.
UCCAUUCCAAAACGUACCAUUCAAUUAAUAAGCAACAAAACAUACCAUUCAUACAAUUCAUGUUAUUCAAAACUAAACCAAAAGAUAAAAGAAGAGGAACCUAUUUGUGAGUGUUUGUCAUGCUAUUUGUCGCACUUUUACUCGGACUUUUACUCGGACUUUUACUCGGACUCUUGCCAAUAUUUUCGACAUUUGAAUCUCUUGUAAUAGGCGUGAUUAUGGUGUUGUGUCCUUGGCUCGACUGACCCUAAUGUAAAAAAAAAUUGAAAUUACAAAGAAAAUAUGAAUAUUGAUUUAUAUAUAAAUGCUAAUUACCUCAAUCGUCUCUCGACGUAAGUCUUCCCUUAGUUCCUUUAGUAUAUCCGGCAUCUGUUUUCUAAUGGCCUCUUGAACUGCCCGAUCAAAGUCUUCUUUACUUUUUUGUUGUUGAAUUUCUAUAAAAUUCGUCGUUGUGUUCUGUGAAGUCGCCAUAUUAUCAGGAAUUGGUAAUGGCAUUGGAUCACUUACUCUGGUCCUAAGCACACGACCUUUCUUUUUUCCGUCAGUAGCUUUGACCCAUAAUUCUAAAUUAUCAGGGUGUGUAUGAUCCAUUUGAUGAGUUGAUCUCAGAAUUUUCUGCUUCCAUAGCAUUUCUUUGAAGCUCAUUAUAGUCAGCCUAUAAAAAUGAAAAUCAAUAAUAAAUAAAAAAUAUGACUUAAAUAUUUUAAAACGAAGCAUUUUUAACGAAUUUUCUUACAAUGAAGCAUCCUCCCUUUGGAUGAGCCCAGUCGUUUGUCUUAGCUAAACUAUGUGUUUUCUUAUAAACCUCACAGUGACCGACUUCAUAACCAGCUUCUUCAUUCUGAUUGUCAUACACAAAAAAAUUAGAAUGAUAAAUGUAAAAUAUAUGAAAGAAAUGUUUUUUUACCAUUCUUUCAUGAGUGGCCGCAACUGAACAAGAUCCACCCGUGUAUGGCAUGUAAUCUGGAUUGUUUGUCCUAUUUUCUGAUGCUUUUUCGGAUUUUUUUUUCCAAUCUUCUUUUAACCAAAUAUCUAUCAUUUCACUCCAUGCUUCCGUAGAAAGGUAUAUCGGUGGAAAUCUAGCGCAAGAUCUGGUUAGUGUGUCAACUUUUGCCAAUUUCUUUGCCUCUUGUCUCGCUUUAUACAACCAACAUAUAUAAUUUAGUUGUACAUAAUUAUCAAAACAUUCACUAGCCAAUUGAAUGUCCUCAAAUGAGAAAUAGCACUACAUAAAGACAAAAACAUUACAUAUGGAAAAAAAUGACAUAUGGAAAAAAUGACAAAUAAAUAAAUAAGUCAUACCAGAAAUUUGACGAAAAUAUUUUCCUUUUCCUCUUCUUUCCAAGAAGUCCAUUUAGUUAAAGGUGACGUUAUAUUACCUUUUACUAAUAUUCCUAUUUGACUUCUUACAUUGUUUGUAAAAGUCCUAUAAAAAACAAUCAAAUUAAAUAAUAAAAUAUAAUGAAUUAUAAUGAAAACACUCACACGCUCUUAACAAUAGUGGCGGGAGUUGGUGCAUCCGGUUGCCUCAAUCCUUUUGUCCAUUUUCUUCGAUGUUCUUCAUCGAAGCGGUCCUAAACGAUUUCUUGAUCUAUUCUUCCAGAUUGUGAUCGUCCGUCGUUUGUUCGUUUACGACUCCGUCCGCGUGCCAUUUUCUAAUGGAAUAUUUUCUAAAGGAAUAAAUAAAAUGAAAUUAUUCUGCUUGAAAAAAAAUGAAAGUAUAAAACAUAUAACUCACUCAGGCGACUCAUCAAACAAAGUAUAAAACAAAUCAGAAUAACAUCAAUCGUGAUAUUCAUUCAUAAAAAUAGAAAUAGAGAAUUGGGUCAAAUUAAAAAAAAAUGAAGAGAAAUUAAAAUAGAAACAAAUGAACAGAUUUUGAUGAAAAUAGAAACAAAGAAUUUUUUUAGGGAUUUAACAUAUUUUUUAGGGAUUAAACAAAUCGUGGACAAACAAAUGAACAAAUCGUGGAUUUAACAGAUCUAUUUUUGUCCCAAACCAAACCAAACUAAAAGAAAAUAUGAAUAGAAUACACAUUACCGUGUAGGAUGGGAGUGCCGGAGUGGAGAUCGACUUGUGAAGUACAGGGAUUUAGCAAAUCACUGCCGAGAUUAGGGAUUUAACGUCGCCG